Long non-coding RNA from Cyprinus carpio (common carp), 1068 nucleotides. RefSeq lists it as uncharacterized. The record is from RefSeq and is a predicted model, not a curated record. NCBI's taxonomy places the organism in Eukaryota, Metazoa, Chordata, Actinopteri, Cypriniformes, Cyprinidae.
GUCGAAUAGGUGUUGCACCAACUGAAUUUUUAAACACAAAACUUUCAUUUUUUUAAAUAAACAGACUUAUAUUUUGUUUUUUAUUUAAUUUUUAAAGACAGAGUUAGCCUACUUUAAUCCUGUUGCUCCAGUACUAAACAUUUUAUUUAAAUUUUAGGGCAGUGUUUAAACGGGCAGGCUGCUCUGUCACCAGCAAAGGUGGCCACUCUCUGCAGCGAAUCGCACCUGUUGUUCCCUUCGAUACUUCAUGUGUAACGUAGACUAACCCAGAGCCGUUGAAAAACAGAGUUGCGAGACUGCCAUAGGAACUUUAGAAUGCGGAAGUAACGCGUGUCGUGGAGCAGCCAAUAGUUCCAAACACUGAUAGUUCCAGCGCUGAACUUCACACAUUUUCAAUGUUUCUGAAGUACGCUCGCUGGAGGUGAAAAACAAGUCUAAACCAAGACUUAAACUUAGAUAAAGUAAUUGUCAGUAAUUUAAGUUCCAGCUGUCGAACAGGUGGGAUUUAAUUUGCAAAGCCAUACACUGUAAGCCAUCACUGUAUGUGUGUGUUGUUUUGUUUGUUUUCAACAGGAUGGAUUAUCGGUGGGGAGUGGAGCAGUGGCCAGGCUGGGGGAGCUUGUGGUUCCUGUAAGCAAUGGAGUGAUGAUGAAGCUGGUUUAAAUUUGAACAGUGGGGUGCUGAAGCUGGUGGGGUGAUGGUGAGGCUAUCAUGGCAUGAAGGAAGCCUGCUGUCCAAGAGCCUACCCUCUCUCUCCAGCAUAUCCAUGGCAUUUGGAUCCAUAAAGGAGCCACUGGUCCUAGUUCGGAACAGCUCCUCAAUUUGCCGGACUAAAUCGAAGGCCUCUUGUGACGGCCGACAAAGUACACCUGGCUUGAACUCUUUCAGCUUCAGUAAAACACUGUGAUUUCCUUCAGGACUGUCAUCAUUGUGCUUAAUUGCACUUUGGCAACCCUCACAAAUCUUGGAAUAUUUAAUCACUUAAUUGAUAUUCACUUGUUGUGCAUGUACAGUACAGGUCAAAAGUUUGGAAACAUUACUAUUUUUAAUGUUUUUGAAAGAAGUCUC